RNAcentral lists this ribosomal RNA (253 nucleotides) under uncultured bacterium. RNAcentral describes it as "partial 16S ribosomal RNA". It matches the Rfam family "Bacterial small subunit ribosomal RNA", at positions 524 to 776 of the family's 1533-position model. The record is from RNAcentral.
UACGUAGGGUGCAGGCGUUAAUCGGAAUUACAGGGCGUAAAGCGUGCGCAGGCGGUUUUUUAAGUCAGAUGUGAAAUCCCCGGGCUUAACCUGGGAACUGCGUUUGAAACUGGAAAGCUUGAGUGCGGCAGAGGGGGGUGGAAUUCCACGUGUAGCAGUGAAAUGCGUAGAUAUCUGGAGGAACACCGGUGGCGAAGGCGGCAUCCUGGACCAACACUGACACUGAGGAGCGAAAGCCAGGGGAGCAAACGGG